GUAUCCUGUCUGAAUAUGGGGGGACCAUCCUCCAAGGCUAAAUACUCCUGACUGACCGAUAGUGAACCAGUACCGUGAGGGAAAGGCGAAAAGAACCCCGGCGAGGGGAGUGAAAAAGAACCUGAAACCGUGUACGUACAAGCAGUGGGAGCCUCUUAAUGGGGUGACUGCGUACCUUUUGUAUAAUGGGUCAGCGACUUAUAUUCUGUAGCAAGGUUAACCGAAUAGGGGAGCCGAAGGGAAACCGAGUCUUAACUGGGCGUUAAGUUGCAGGGUAUAGACCCGAAACCCGGUGAUCUAGCCAUGGGCAGGUUGAAGGUUGGGUAACACUAACUGGAGGACCGAACCGACUAAUGUUGAAAAAUUAGCGGAUGACUUGUGGCUGGGGGUGAAAGGCCAAUCAAACCGGGAGAUAGCUGGUUCUCCCCGAAAGCUAUUUAGGUAGCGCCUCGUGAAUUCAUCUCCGGGGGUAGAGCACUGUUUCGGCAAGGGGGUCAUCCCGACUUACCAACCCGAUGCAAACUGCGAAUACCGGAGAAUGUUAUCACGGGAGACACACGGCGGGUGCUAACGUCCGUCGUGAAGAGGGAAACAACCCAGACCGCCAGCUAAGGUCCCAAAGUCAUGGUUAAGUGGGAAACGAUGUGGGAAGGCCCAGACAGCCAGGAUGUUGGCUUAGAAGCAGCCAUCAUUUAAAGAAAGCGUAAUAGCUCACUGGUCGAGUCGGCCUGCGCGGAAGAUGUAACGGGGCUAAACCAUGCACCGAAGCUGCGGCAGCGACACUAUGUGUUGUUGGGUAGGGGAGCGUUCUGUAAGCCUGUGAAGGUGGCCUGUGAGGGUUGCUGGAGGUAUCAGAAGUGCGAAUGCUGACAUAAGUAACGAUAAAGCGGGUGAAAAGCCCGCUCGCCGGAAGACCAAGGGUUCCUGUCCAACGUUAAUCGGGGCAGGGUGAGUCGACCCCUAAGGCGAGGCCGAAAGGCGUAGUCGAUGGGAAACAGGUUAAUAUUCCUGUACUUGGUGUUACUGCGAAGGGGGGACGGAGAAGGCUAUGUUGGCCGGGCGACGGUUGUCCCGGUUUAAGCGUGUAGGCUGGUUUUCCAGGCAAAUCCGGAAAACCAAGGCUGAGGCGUGAUGACGAGGCACUACGGUGCUGAAGUGACAAAUGCCCUGCUUCCAGGAAAAGCCUCUAAGCAUCAGGUAACAUCAAAUCGUACCCCAAACCGACACAGGUGGUCAGGUAGAGAAUACCAAGGCGCUUGAGAGAACUCGGGUGAAGGAACUAGGCAAAAUGGUGCCGUAACUUCGGGAGAAGGCACGCUGAUAUGUAGGUGAAGCGACUUGCUCGUGGAGCUGAAAUCAGUCGAAGAUACCAGCUGGCUGCAACUGUUUAUUAAAAACACAGCACUGUGCAAACACGAAAGUGGACGUAUACGGUGUGACGCCUGCCCGGUGCCGGAAGGUUAAUUGAUGGGGUUAGCGGUAACGCGAAGCUCUUGAUCGAAGCCCCGGUAAACGGCGGCCGUAACUAUAACGGUCCUAAGGUAGCGAAAUUCCUUGUCGGGUAAGUUCCGACCUGCACGAAUGGCGUAAUGAUGGCCAGGCUGUCUCCACCCGAGACUCAGUGAAAUUGAACUCGCUGUGAAGAUGCAGUGUACCCGCGGCAAGACGGAAAGACCCCGUGAACCUUUACUAUAGCUUGACACUGAACAUUGAGCCUUGAUGUGUAGGAUAGGUGGGAGGCUUUGAAGUGUGGACGCCAGUCUGCAUGGAGCCGACCUUGAAAUACCACCCUUUAAUGUUUGAUGUUCUAACGUUGGCCCGUAAUCCGGGUUGCGGACAGUGUCUGGUGGGUAGUUUGACUGGGGCGGUCUCCUCCUAAAGAGUAACGGAGGAGCACGAAGGUUGGCUAAUCCUGGUCGGACAUCAGGAGGUUAGUGCAAUGGCAUAAGCCAGCUUGACUGCGAGCGUGACGGCGCGAGCAGGUGCGAAAGCAGGUCAUAGUGAUCCGGUGGUUCUGAAUGGAAGGGCCAUCGCUCAACGGAUAAAAGGUACUCCGGGGAUAACAGGCUGAUACCGCCCAAGAGUUCAUAUCGACGGCGGUGUUUGGCACCUCGAUGUCGGCUCAUCACAUCCUGGGGCUGAAGUAGGUCCCAAGGGUAUGGCUGUUCGCCAUUUAAAGUGGUACGCGAGCUGGGUUUAGAACGUCGUGAGACAGUUCGGUCCCUAUCUGCCGUGGGCGCUGGAGAACUGAGGGGGGCUGCUCCUAGUACGAGAGGACCGGAGUGGACGCAUCACUGGUGUUCGGGUUGUCAUGCCAAUGGCACUGCCCGGUAGCUAAAUGCGGAAGAGAUAAGUGCUGAAAGCAUCUAAGCACGAAACUUGCCCCGAGAUGAGUUCUCCCUGACUCCUUGAGGGUCCUGAAGGAACGUUGAAGACGACGACGUUGAUAGGCCGGGUGUGUAAGCGCAGCGAUGCGUUGAGCUAACCGGUACUAAUGAACCGUGAGGCUUAACCUU
RNAcentral lists this ribosomal RNA (2516 nucleotides) under human gut metagenome. RNAcentral's name for it is "bacterial LSU rRNA". It matches the Rfam family "Bacterial large subunit ribosomal RNA", at positions 429 to 2925 of the family's 2925-position model. The record is from RNAcentral.